GACCGCGUAGCUCAGUUGGCAGAGCGUUGGGCUAGUAUUCCAAAGGUCGUAGGUUUGAUUCCCACCGUGGUCA
Molecule: transfer RNA, 73 nt
Filed under: Paramuricea clavata
Lineage: Eukaryota; Metazoa; Cnidaria; Anthozoa; Malacalcyonacea; Plexauridae
Rfam family: tRNA
About the family: Transfer RNA (tRNA) molecules are approximately 80 nucleotides in length.
Source: Rfam by way of RNAcentral